CGUUUCCGCUAGGCCGCGUGACGCGCGCGCCCGGUGUGCGCGUUCCCGCGGUGCAGGCUGUGCGGCUGGGAGCUGCGCCGCGGCGGUGGGCGGCGACCGGGCUUUACCCGCCGGGACUCGGCGCCCAUCCGGAGCUUUAAUCCGUUGCGUUUAACGCCGCCCGGUUUUCGUGCUCUUUCUGCUGCCGAAGGCUCCGUUAAGGAACGGCCGAACGUCUUCUUAAAGCGUGCUCGUAGGGUACGUAACAUGGUGCCGCUCUACACCGCAGGCAGACGCGGCGGACCUGAAGGCCCGGGUUGUACUGCGGAACAUCAGUGGAAAAACGCUCCGCUGUCAUCUGGAAUGGAUGCGGACGGGAUGGAAUGGAUGCGGACGGGAUGGAAUGGAUGCUGACGGGUGGAAUGGAUGCUGACAGGAUGGCUGCAUCGCCUGCACCGAGGAGGACAGGAAGCCGGGUGAUCCCAAGUGUUUGUGGUGGAGCGGUGCAGUGAAACUUAGAUCUGGUUGUCUGCGAAGGUGAAAAUUCUUCCUGCCAUGAAAUACAUUCCUCUCUCAACACACGACAAGGCAUUCUUCAUUAAAUAGGGUGUGAUUGUCUCACUCAGAGAGGAGCUACAUCAGUCUGCCUUUUCCUGAGCAUGAUUUGAAUGUCAGAAUCAGCCCAACACAAUGCAAGAACAAAGCCAUGGAAUCAAGAAUUUAGGAAAAAAUAAGUGUCCUACCUCAUUUUUUUUCCUAGCAAGGGGUUCUGCCUUAUGUGGUCUGGGGUAGAGCUGUUUCUCAUGUUCAUAACAACAUCAGUUUGGUCACUGUCGUUCAUGCCAAGUGGAAGAGCAAUUUGCUGAUUAACUCAAAAAGAGACACAGAAUGAGACUUUUUUCCAUGAAAUUCUUCAUGAAUUUUUCCUAUGUUGACAAACCUAAUUCCUGGGUUUGUACUCUCUGGGACAGUCAUUAAAGGAGUAGUCAGUGAAUCAAUCCUUACAAGACAUGCAGACAAACUAAAAUGUUCAAAUGCAACUACCUGACCGUGAAUGGAAGGCACUGAUGUGAAAAUGCAGCAACCCUUUGCACGGAGCCCAGUGUCAGUCUCGUGCUGGCUUAUCUCACAGGAAAGUCACAUCAUGGGUUUGAAUUCAUUAUUUAAUCUUGAUAUUCUCAGUGAGACACUGGCUGUCAGAAGUGACUUUGUAAAUCAGUCUGCAGGAGAUUGGAACGGGGAGAAAUUGAUGAGAACAAGGAGACAUCUUGAAGGAAGAACCAGGAAACAGCAGAAUGGUUGGAUGUUGAGGAUCCUCCACCUCUACCAGUCAGAAUUCCCUGACCUCAAGUCUGUCUUUGCUUCAUGAAGUAAGCAAAAAAAUAAAAAUAAGAAAAAGGAAUUAAAAGACCAGGAAAAAAAAGAAAGAAGCAGCAAAAUGUCAGUAUAAGAUUUCUUCGCCUAAAUCAGAAAAUGCAGUACUGAAGAGCCCACAAGAAGCUGGUAGACAAGGAGCAGUGGUGGAAUCUUAAAAGAAUUUAGCUGACAAAUGUGGAAGAGCGGCAUGAAUCAAUCAGGGAUUUACAGUUUGGACAGGUUGGAUGGUUUCCCACAAGGGAAUUGAACCCGAAGGCCAUGCAGCUUCUUUCUUCCUUAACUGUGGUUGCGUGACAGUUUAGUGGCUUCCUGCCAAGAUGAAAAGGCAUUUUCUUAAUAAAGUAGUUAAUGAGCAGAAUUUCUUUUGUUGAUGAACAAGUAGUUUUUCCUACCUCGUUAUUUUAAAUGUGGGGACUGUGUUCAGUUCAGAGUGUCUUUUUAAACCAGCCUGAUGGACUUGCUUGACAUGGACAGCUCAAAUGGUUUAAGUUUGGCAAAAUGGCAACCAGCUGAAGACAUGAUCUUCUGGUGAUCACAAAGCAACAGGUGAUCUUGUGUGGGUACAUCCAAGUAGAUGGGGCUGAGAUUUGAAUGAAGAGCUGAACAGCCACGUGACCACAUCUGGAAGAGAACACAGCUGGGCAAUGCUAGUGCAGAAGGAGGACUCUGGAGACUCUUCUCAUUAAAAUAUCUCUCAGUAAUGAUUGUCAAAGAGAACUGUUCCUCUGUUUUGUGAAUACUACCAUGCGUUGCGGAUCUUGUUGUCUGCAAAUGCGAGUGGUGGUACAUGGAAUGCACCAUAGCAGCAAACAGACUUGCAGCGAAAAUCUGAAUUUUGGACAGGACUUUCUAAGAAAUCUAUGUCCACAUUGAUCUGUGGAGUCCUUUUGAAAUGACUGAAGGAAGGAGCCUGCAGGCCUUCCCAAGAGCAGCAGUGCCAUUUUGAACCAAAGGCAAUAAAACUCUUAGACUCUGCCAAUAUCAGGAGCUUGGUUUCAACAACCGGAGAUGUGACUUGCAUGUGCCUGUUGCCUUUGCCUUUACCUUGAUGUCCUUCCAAAAUGUGUUCUCUGGAGAAAGUUCUCUUACAAGCCAGCCUGUUGUUCUGCAUCUUUUCUGUUUUCCCCAGGCUGCCACAGGUUCACCUUCUAAACUGGCCCGUCAGCAAUGCUGUGAGAACUCAGUAGCUUUAUUUGCCCUGUCUUCUCCAUUUGUUCUUCCUUCAAACCCUUAGCAAACCUGUUUGACUUAGCCACCUCUGAGCUCUCUGCUGCUGUCUUCUGCCUGGGUCCCACUGCACCAGGGGUCAUCUCUGCCUCACGUCAGUGUGGAUGCCACUAGUUUGGGUUGAAGGCUGAGCAGGGGCUGUGGGGCUGAGUCCACAGCUGGAGCACUGCCAUCAGCAUAGGGGAGGAGGGAAGAGGUCUUUUCUCGCUCUCUUUACGUAUUUGUGCCCAUCGGAGCCUUGAUGUUGCUGCCAUUGACCCACAAGGUUGCCCUGGUCCGUGCCAGGCAUUCAGUAUUCAGCUCGAAUGUGGAGGUGUGCUUUGCCAGCAGGAGCACCAUCAUUUCCAGGCAGCAGGGAUGGACAUCACCAGAUCUCUCAGUGCCAUCAGAGGCCAUCCCAACUCCAAACCCUACAUGGGGAAGCUGCCUGAAAGAUGGGAGAGAAUUUCUGCAUCAGGAGUGACUCAGGACUUUGGUAUAUUGCGUUCUCAAAUAUUUAUUUCAGUGUUCUUAUAAAUGUUUUAUUUGGAGAAAAAUAUUGUAAUUGGCCAAUAUUCCAUAAAAUCUAAAUAUUUUGCUCUAAGAUAGUGCUUCCCCUGCUUGUGGAGAUUUGAUUAUUUGCUGAUGACACAGUUCAAGCUCUCUGUAUUGACAAGGGCUUUCCUCCACUCCUUGGUCUGUUUACAUGUGACUGAAGCCUUAAAUCCAGGCACUCUAAUAGCGAGCGGGGACAAAGACGAUUUAUCCAUGGUUGAUCUUCAAAAAUUGCUUCUCAUCUGAUGCUUUUUUUCCACUGAGAAAGAUUGUAUAUGGAAACAGGAUGAGGCAGUUGAGGAAUAAAAAGGCAGAAUUCCCUGUAACAGCUGCACUGGCUGUGCAGAGAAGGGGGCACUUGUCAGAAAUAAGGAGCUGUGCUAGCGAGGCUGCUUGUUCUCUGCACGUGUGCAAUACAAGAGGUGUUGGAGAGCAGGCAGUGUGUAGUGUGUGCCUUGGGCCUGUCCCUAUGAGCUCUUCCUUAACACAGGCUGUGAAGGGACUUUCUUGGUGUCACUUGCUUUCCAGCGCUUGAAGAGUAUUUAGUGCACUAAAUGGUGCAAUACUCUGAACUCAGUACUUUGCUGUGUGCUGAUUUCAUGGACCAGAGAUCCACCUUUGCAAGCCUGCAGUGAGGAUGCUCAGGCUUCCACCAUUGCAGGACUCGUGUUGGAGUGUUGGAGCACACGGGGAGCUGGCUGGCUCUGCUCUCGCUUUUCCCAAGCCUUUGGCAGAGCUGAGGUCAGCUCCUGGGCUGCAGCUGUUGGAACCAGCAGGCAGCAGUACCAGGCAUGGGUGGAAAAAUCCAUGGUGUGAGCAUCUUGGGAAUGUUGAGGGUUUUUUGAAGUGUCAUCUGAAGGCUUUAAUCCGUUGUAUGGUCCUAGUGAAAGCUGCUGGCAUCCAUCAUUCUGCUUGGCUCUAUUUACCAUCUGUACCUGGGUCCAGGAAAACAUUUUAACAGAUGCUAGGAGAAGAGGAGGAGGCGUGUAACAACAGCUUUCUACUUUGCAGGAUACCAAAGGAAUGUGCAAGCGCAAGAAUGAAAGGCAAAUACUGCAAGUGGAUCAGAAACAGCUUCAUUUUGUGACAGGUGGUUUUUGUAUCCUGCAAUUGCAGAAGCUACAGUGGGGUAAGAAUGAGGCAUGUUUUGGGUGGUUGGGAGAACAGCUUCCUUGAGAAACAGCACAGCACAAGAAGAAUCCAAAUUGGGUACAAAUUAGGAGAAAUUUAAGUGUUCUGUGAAAUGUGGUGUGUUUGCUGUGAAACAUGGCUGACGUUGAGGGGCUGUCUGUGGCAGUGUCAAGACAGGAGAAUUCAUCAAGGGAGAGCAAGCUGCAGCAUUCAAAACUGUGAAAAUGUAAAGUCUCCGGUGGCUUGCAUUAGUAGAGGUAGAAGUAUGUGCAGAAGUCCUUUGGCUUUGGAGGAUUCUGUGACUCAUCUCAUGUUGGGAAGGACUUGUGUUCCUGCAGUUAUGUUUGUUACUCCCUUGUCCAGUGACCUAUGAAAUACUUCUUGGUCCCUGUGCUUUGGAUGGAAGAAAAAAUUCAAAAUUACUUCAAAGCCACCUCUGGUAACUCCUUCAAAGGAGAUGUAGUGCAGUCUUUGUUGUAGGUAACAGCCUCCCCCAUCACUGAGGCUAUCAGUUGUUUUUCUGGAGGGUGAUGGUGGCAGAGGCAGAAAGCAGAAGUGCACCACGAAAGGGAACCAGCUGCUCUCCCAUCCCACAGCAUGGCGAAAAAGAGUGGAGAACUGAUACCCUUCUGGACAUAGGCUUUAUUCCAAGUGCUGGGAAAGAGAGUGAAAAAUCCCUGAGAUGCGGAAGAAGGAGAAGCAAGACUGCAGGUGGGAUCUGGUCAGGAUUGGGUCCCAGCACCACAGCAGUGCCAGACCUGGGGCCACUGGCUCUGCAGCCACCCACCUGGGCUCUGUGUCAGCUGCGGAGACACCGUGCACUGGAAGCUGCCCACAGCCACAUUUGAUGUAGUGGCAGUGAAGACCUCAGGUGGAGCAGGAGUUCAGCAGCCACUGACAUACAGGAUCUCCAUUUGGAAAGGGCUGCCGUGGUCGGAGCCAUGGGGAAUACAGCACUGGCUUGUGACAGCCACACAUGGAGAAGCAAGGGCUGACCCUGAUUUAGCGAUUGAUGUCAUGACUUAUAAGAACGACCUCCAGACACGGAAAGGAUAGAAAAGUACUUCACAGGGACCAUGGAGCUGGCAAGCACCCCAGGAUACUGAUGGUGGCCGCAGCAGCUUUGCUGUGGAUAAAUUCUCCUAUUUCCAAAGGGAAUUUGUGACCACAUAUCAAAUGCCAAACAAUGUGCUAGCAAUCUUUUUGUAUGUAGAUAAGGCAUUUUAAUGCAAUAUAGCUCAGCCUGCCUGCAGCAGACUAGACAUACUGACAAGGAUUAAUAGUCCAGCGCAAGACUUGGCAGAGUCGCAAGCAGGGAGGACUCCUAACUAAGCAGCUGUUUGAGUCUUAUAUAAGCUGUCUAGACCAAACAUGAAGAAACGAAGCCAAUCCUGGCAUUAGACUACCGCUUCUGCACAGACGGUCUCCAACCUACAGCCUUCAUAUCUGAGCUUGUGCAAAGCGAGGAAGAAACAGAAGGAUGUUAGUAGUCAAGCCAACUCUGCAUCAGAAAAAAAGUCUGUGAGCAACUAUAAAAAUAAUGGAAAAGAACAGUAAUGACUGAGAUUUAUUACAACUAGGAAAACAGUUGACGUUUUGCACGCAGAAAAUACUGUGUUGCCAAGAAUGUCUCUUCACAGUGAGCCCACAGGAGUCAGGUAGAGCUGGGGAGCAUGGCUGAUGCUACAGCAAAGGGGAGGAUGCUCCUGGCAGAGAGCAGCCUGAGAGAGAAGGUGCAACUUUUUCUAGUUCCUUGUGACUGACUCAGUGGAAAAUCAAGUUCGUUCAAAGAGAAAAUAUAAUCGGAAAAGAGGCUGCUCUUAAAGUAUUUCACGUGGCAAAUAAGACAGAAGGGUCUGUGGCUGGGACAGGUGUGACUGCGAGGGACUGGAAACAGCCAGGGCUGUCACCAGGGAGCAGCAGAGCAAGAUAUAUCCUGUUGGUGGAUGAUGGAUUAGCCAUUGGCAACUUGCAGAUUGAAGGAAGCCAGAAGUUGGAUGACACAACCAAUCCUUGUGCCAUGGGGCAGGACGUGACCCGCUGGGCGCAGCGCAUGCAGGAGCCCUUUGUCACCGCGUUGUUUGGCUCAUUAAUGAAUACCAGAACCAGUCUCGCACAGGUUGUUCACAACAUGACACACGUCUGGCUUUUUUUGGGAGCAGUGUGUCACAAGGGCCUGUUUUGCUGUUUCUUGCUGCCAGGGCCCAGGAGAUACCAGCUGCUGGGCAGUGGGGUGCAGGGGGCCCUGGCUUGGUGGCCAUGCAGAAGUUGGUUUCCCCCUGCCCAGCCCCAGAGGAGCUCUGCCUUAGGGAACUGCCUGCAGCCAUCCUGACAAUGAGAGCAGACUGUGCCCAGGGACUCUGGGACUCUUUGGCUUUGCUCGUGGCACAAUUUCUAGGAAGCCCCUUUGGAAGACCAUCAUGUUUGGGAAUGUCUGUAACCUGGUUUUUAAGUUACAAGGAUUGGUAUCUUCCCUGUACCCCUUGUCCUUAUUCCAAACCCUUCCUUUCUUGGCUAUAGCAGA
Molecule: long non-coding RNA, 6772 nt
Organism: Lagopus muta (rock ptarmigan)
Lineage: Eukaryota; Metazoa; Chordata; Aves; Galliformes; Phasianidae
Exons: 2
Source: RefSeq, a predicted model, not a curated record